CUCCCCUCUGUGCUGCUUCGACAAAUGAGGAAGUACUAGCAUGAGCAGCAAUGGGAAGCUAGGAUUGGCUGAGAGUGUCAGCUGUCUGUUUUUAGCUCCAACUAAUGGUAUGAAGGGUAUGACUUCAAGGAAGUGUGUAAUCUCUGCCUUGGCCACACCUCCAGAAGAGGCCGGACUAUGGGUGGCCUUGAUCCCUUAUUUAGUGUUAAACUGCUCUAAAAUGGUUUAACAUUGUAUGGAGAGACAGUGCCAGGAGAUUCCAGGCAUCAGAACCAAUUCAAAGCGAUGAAAUGAUUAUAGUGAGUACAGUGUCCCUUUAAGAAAUACAGCAUGUCAGAUGAGUUGAAAUAGGAAAUAGUUCAGGGAUAUAUAUAUUCUAUAACAGUGUUUUUUUUACUUUUUACAGAGAAGUACCCCUGCAGGUCUAAAAAAAAUUAAUUCAAAUGAAAUGUGUAGAAAUUGAUAUUUAAAGGCAUAGUAGAGGCAUCAAAACAUAUUUA
Pelobates cultripes (western spadefoot toad) is the source of this 500-nucleotide non-coding RNA. NCBI's taxonomy places the organism in Eukaryota, Metazoa, Chordata, Amphibia, Anura, Pelobatidae. The record is from the annotation of a GenBank genome assembly.